GGAGAGAUGGCAGAGCGGUUGAUUGCAUCGGUCUUGAAAACCGACAGGGGAUCAUACUCCUCGGGGGUUCGAAUCCCUCUCUCUCCGCCA
RNAcentral lists this transfer RNA (90 nucleotides) under Methylacidiphilales bacterium. RNAcentral's name for it is "Candidatus Methylacidiphilales bacterium tRNA-Ser". It matches the Rfam family "tRNA". From Rfam's summary of the family: Transfer RNA (tRNA) molecules are approximately 80 nucleotides in length. Their secondary structure includes four short double-helical elements and three loops (D, anti-codon, and T loops). Further hydrogen bonds mediate the characteristic L-shaped molecular structure. tRNAs have two regions of fundamental functional importance: the anti-codon, which is responsible for specific mRNA codon recognition, and the 3' end, to which the tRNAs corresponding amino acid is attached (by aminoacyl-tRNA synthetases). tRNAs cope with the degeneracy of the genetic code in two manners: having more than one tRNA (with a specific anti-codon) for a particular amino acid; and 'wobble' base-pairing, i.e. permitting non-standard base-pairing at the 3rd anti-codon position. Lineage: Bacteria; Pseudomonadati; Verrucomicrobiota; Methylacidiphilae; Methylacidiphilales. The record is from RNAcentral.